This 1407-nucleotide ribosomal RNA is filed under the name Lactiplantibacillus argentoratensis. RNAcentral's name for it is "bacterial SSU rRNA". It matches the Rfam family "Bacterial small subunit ribosomal RNA", at positions 63 to 1440 of the family's 1533-position model. The record is from RNAcentral. Lineage: Bacteria; Bacillati; Bacillota; Bacilli; Lactobacillales; Lactobacillaceae.
CGAACUCUGGUAUUGAUUGGUGCUUGCAUCAUGAUUUACAUUUGAGUGAGUGGCGAACUGGUGAGUAACACGUGGGAAACCUGCCCAGAAGCGGGGGAUAACACCUGGAAACAGAUGCUAAUACCGCAUAACAACUUGGACCGCAUGGUCCGAGUUUGAAAGAUGGCUUCGGCUAUCACUUUUGGAUGGUCCCGCGGCGUAUUAGCUAGAUGGUGAGGUAACGGCUCACCAUGGCAAUGAUACGUAGCCGACCUGAGAGGGUAAUCGGCCACAUUGGGACUGAGACACGGCCCAAACUCCUACGGGAGGCAGCAGUAGGGAAUCUUCCACAAUGGACGAAAGUCUGAUGGAGCAACGCCGCGUGAGUGAAGAAGGGUUUCGGCUCGUAAAACUCUGUUGUUAAAGAAGAACAUAUCUGAGAGUAACUGUUCAGGUAUUGACGGUAUUUAACCAGAAAGCCACGGCUAACUACGUGCCAGCAGCCGCGGUAAUACGUAGGUGGCAAGCGUUGUCCGGAUUUAUUGGGCGUAAAGCGAGCGCAGGCGGUUUUUUAAGUCUGAUGUGAAAGCCUUCGGCUCAACCGAAGAAGUGCAUCGGAAACUGGGAAACUUGAGUGCAGAAGAGGACAGUGGAACUCCAUGUGUAGCGGUGAAAUGCGUAGAUAUAUGGAAGAACACCAGUGGCGAAGGCGGCUGUCUGGUCUGUAACUGACGCUGAGGCUCGAAAGUAUGGGUAGCAAACAGGAUUAGAUACCCUGGUAGUCCAUACCGUAAACGAUGAAUGCUAAGUGUUGGAGGGUUUCCGCCCUUCAGUGCUGCAGCUAACGCAUUAAGCAUUCCGCCUGGGGAGUACGGCCGCAAGGCUGAAACUCAAAGGAAUUGACGGGGGCCCGCACAAGCGGUGGAGCAUGUGGUUUAAUUCGAAGCUACGCGAAGAACCUUACCAGGUCUUGACAUACUAUGCAAAUCUAAGAGAUUAGACGUUCCCUUCGGGGACAUGGAUACAGGUGGUGCAUGGUUGUCGUCAGCUCGUGUCGUGAGAUGUUGGGUUAAGUCCCGCAACGAGCGCAACCCUUAUUAUCAGUUGCCAGCAUUAAGUUGGGCACUCUGGUGAGACUGCCGGUGACAAACCGGAGGAAGGUGGGGAUGACGUCAAAUCAUCAUGCCCCUUAUGACCUGGGCUACACACGUGCUACAAUGGAUGGUACAACGAGUUGCGAACUCGCGAGAGUAAGCUAAUCUCUUAAAGCCAUUCUCAGUUCGGAUUGUAGGCUGCAACUCGCCUACAUGAAGUCGGAAUCGCUAGUAAUCGCGGAUCAGCAUGCCGCGGUGAAUACGUUCCCGGGCCUUGUACACACCGCCCGUCACACCAUGAGAGUUUGUAACACCCAAAGUCGGUGGGGUAACC